Molecule: ribosomal RNA, 484 nt
Filed under: uncultured bacterium
Lineage: Bacteria
Description: partial 16S ribosomal RNA
Rfam family: Bacterial small subunit ribosomal RNA
Source: RNAcentral
AUUGAACGCUGGCGGCAGGCCUAACACAUGCAAGUCGAGCGGAUGAAGGGAGCUUGCUCCUGGAUUCAGCGGCGGACGGGUGAGUAAUGCCUAGGAAUCUGCCUGGUAGUGGGGGAUAACGUCCGUAAACGGGCGCUACUACCGCAUACGUCCUGAGGGAGAAAGUGGGGGAUCUUCGGACCUCACGCUAUCAGAUGAGCCUAGGUCGGAUUAGCUAGUUGGUGGGGUAAAGGCCUACCAAGGCGACGAUCCGUAACUGGUCUGAGAGGAUGAUCAGUCACACUGGAACUGAGACACGGUCCGGACUCCUACGGGAGGCAGCAGUGGGGAAUAUUGGAAAAUGGGCGAAAGCCUGAUCCAGACAUGCCGCGUGUGUGAAGAAGGUCUUCGGAUUGUAAAGCACUUUAAGUUGGGAGGAAGGGCAGUAAGUUAAUAACUUGCUGUUUUGACGUUACCAACAGAAUAAGCACCGGCUAACUUCGUG